This 766-nucleotide non-coding RNA is filed under the name Hoploplana elisabelloi. Lineage: Eukaryota; Metazoa; Platyhelminthes; Polycladida; Hoploplanidae. The record is from RNAcentral.
UAUUUAUUUGGUUUUGGUUAAAUAAAGAAUUAAUAUUAAAACUAUCAUAAAAAUUUUAUCUAAGGGGUCAAUGUUUAAAUAAAUUUUAUUUUAGUGGUGAAUUUUUUUAUAAAAACGAAAGUUUGUUUAAGUUAAUAUUUUGAAGGGGUAAAUAGUAGGUGCCAGCAACUGCGGUUAUACCUAUUCUUAUCUUUAUUUUUGGGCAAAAUAUAAAUUGAUAAAGUAUAAAAAAAUCUUUUUAUUCGGUUAAAUGAUAAAAGUAUUUUAUUCUAAAUAUAUUUAAUUAAAUUGUGAAACUCAUUUCAAAAACCAAGAUUAGGUACCUUGUUAUUAGUGAGUAUAAAUAAUAAAACCCAGAGUACUAGAUAAACGAAACUCAAAAGACCUGGCGGUGGAUGUCUUCCUAUCAGAGGAGUGUGCUGAGUAAUAGAUAAUCCGCUAAGUAAUAAACCUAUAUUUUUAAGUCAGUGUACGGCCGCUUACAGAUAAUUUUCUUAGAAGGCAUUAAUUAUCAAUAUUUUCUAUUCUCUAGUUAAGACAGGUCAAUGUGCUGCUGAUAUAUAGGGUUGGGGUGCGCUAUUAAAACGCAGGAUAAAAGAAAAAAGGUUGUAAAACGUUUUAGAAUUCAGAUUUGAUAGUAAUAUAGCAAUAAAUUCAUGCUUAUGAACUUAGGUAAAACUCUGUGUACACAUCGCCCGUCGUUCUUUUCGAAAGAAAAGAGAAGUCGUAACAUGGUAGUCUUAAUAGAAAUUGAGACUUAAGGGAU